RNAcentral lists this ribosomal RNA (480 nucleotides) under uncultured bacterium. RNAcentral's name for it is "partial 16S ribosomal RNA". It matches the Rfam family "Bacterial small subunit ribosomal RNA", at positions 28 to 506 of the family's 1533-position model. The record is from RNAcentral.
GAUGAACGCUGGCGGCGUGCUUAACACAUGCAAGUCGAACGAAGCACUUUAUUUGAUUUCCUUCGGGACUGAUUAUUUUGUGACUGAGUGGCGGACGGGUGAGUAACGCGUGGGUAACCUGCCUUGUACAGGGGGAUAACAGUUGGAAACGGCUGCUAAUACCGCAUAAGCGCACAGCAUCGCAUGAUGCAGUGUGAAAAACUCCGGUGGUAUAAGAUGGACCCGCGUUGGAUUAGCUAGUUGGUGAGGUAACGGCCCACCAAGGCGACGAUCCAUAGCCGACCUGCUAGGGUGACCGGCCACAUUGGGACUGAGACACGGCCCAAACUCCUACGGGAGGCAGCAGUGGGGAAUAUUGCACAAUGGGCGAAAGCCUGAUGCAGCGACGCCGUGUGAGCGAAGAAGUAUUUCGGUAUGUAAAGCUCUAUCAGCAGGGAAGAUAAUGACGUUACCUGACUAAGAAGCACCGGCUAAAUACGU